UUUGUACUCCCUCCGUCCCAUAUUAAGCGACUCAAAUUUGUUCAAAUAUGGAUGUAUAUGUCAUGUCUGCCUAAAACAUCUAGAUACAUGUAAUAGAAAGUCACUUAAUAUGGGACGAAGGGAGUAGUAU
This is a non-coding RNA of Brachypodium distachyon (stiff brome), 130 nucleotides long. Lineage: Eukaryota; Viridiplantae; Streptophyta; Magnoliopsida; Poales; Poaceae. The record is from Rfam.